AAUUUUUGAGGAUUUUUUAUUCGGGUCUUUUUUUAACUGAUCAUUUUAAUAGAAAACUUUGUGCAUAUGAGAAGACUAUGAAUUUAAGUGCUUCGGCGAGCUGUGCUUAAACAUCUUGAGCAAAGCACAUGUAAGUAUGUUGUUUAAUCUAGGCAAACUGAGGUGAUAGUCAUCUUGGGACCGAGUAGAGAUUCAGAUUUACAUAAUGAUGAUAAAAGGAUUCGUCUAGAACCCAUACGUCGCGUACCUGAGGAAAAUGACCAUGAGUGGCAGUAAUCACACUGUGCGAUCUGUGCCACUGGAUCUUACCAACAAAACCAGAGAGCGUGGGAGCUGCGCGCAGACGGGAGACCAAGGUCGCCCUAGACCUACUCCAGAAAGACAGGUGGAAGCGGCGCACAAGUGCAGCAAUGGACACGGAAUUCUUCCAUCUGAACCACAGGACUGUUGUGAUGGAUCAGUUUCGCAGACUACUCAAACAGACGCUGUGGGUGACAGGGGAAAUAGGACGCGUGAGGGUCCCAAACAAACCCGACCCAUAACCCCUAACGCGAAGUGCAACAAUCAGACGAACGCUGCAGGAAAACCGGCAGUUUCCUCAUUUUCCAAACUUCCGCCAAGGAAACGUCCUUUCCCACUGGAUGUGGACCAUCACCACAGUGGUCCAAGAAAAGAUCCACCUAGCGUGGCUCCAAAAGUGUUGAAGAACCCCGAGGCACAAAUAGACACAGAUCCACAGCGGAUAUUUAGUACAUUUGGAGAUAACCCAAGCGUUAAUGACUCCCGGUUUGUGCCACACUUAACACCAUAUCCAGGUUGUCCAUAUAUCCAGUGGCCUCGGCAGCCUCCUCCACUGGAGAGCACAGAUCGGCUGCUGGCAGAUAUUGCUGAGGCAACACGUCAAGAUGAAGAUGGUGACAUGCCUCUUCACAUUGCUGUGGUCAAAGAGAACUGCCAAUUGGUCAGCUGGCUUAUUGAAAUAUAUCGACGGGCACACAAAGACCUGGACAUUUUCAAUAACCUAAGACAGGUACACACACACACACACACAAACAAGCAAACUCUGUUAGGUAUCAUGAACUAGCAAUGAACAAUACUUUUGCAGCAUUUAUUCAUCAGUUGAUCUCAACCAGGGAGCCGGG
This 1142-nucleotide long non-coding RNA is filed under the name Sinocyclocheilus anshuiensis. Its description in RNAcentral is "lncRNA (ENSSANG00000030135.1)". Lineage: Eukaryota; Metazoa; Chordata; Actinopteri; Cypriniformes; Cyprinidae. The record is from RNAcentral.